UACGGAGGGUGCAAGCGUUGCUCGGAAUCACUGGGCGUAAAGCGACCGCAGGCGGUCUGACAAGUCGGAUGUGAAAGCCCUGGGCUCAACUCAGGAAUUGCAUUCGAAACUGGCAGACUCGAGUACGGGAGAGGGGGGUGGAAUUCCUGGUGUAGGGGUGAAAUUCGUUGAUAUCAGGAGGAACACCGGCGGCGAAGGCGGCCCCCUGGCCCGCAACUGACGCUCAUGGUCGAAAGCGUGGGGAGCAAACAGGA
RNAcentral lists this ribosomal RNA (254 nucleotides) under uncultured prokaryote. RNAcentral describes it as "partial 16S ribosomal RNA". It matches the Rfam family "Bacterial small subunit ribosomal RNA", at positions 524 to 777 of the family's 1533-position model. The record is from RNAcentral.